RNAcentral lists this ribosomal RNA (429 nucleotides) under uncultured bacterium. RNAcentral's name for it is "bacterial SSU rRNA". It matches the Rfam family "Bacterial small subunit ribosomal RNA", at positions 983 to 1406 of the family's 1533-position model. The record is from RNAcentral.
GACAUCCCAAGAAAUCUCGAGAGACCGAGAUGUGCCCCUUUGGGGAACUUGGUGACAGGUGCUGCAUGGCUGUCGUCAGCUCGUGUCGUGAGAUGUUGGGUUAAGUCCCGCAACGAGCGCAACCCUCGCCCUUAGUUGCCAAUAUUAAGUUAGGAACUCUAAGGGGACUGCCAAGGUGACAACUUGGAGGAAGGUGGGGAUGAUGUCAAGUCAUCAUGGCCCUUGACGUCCAGGGCUACAAACGUGCUACAAUGACCGGUACAAAGAGCAGCAAUACAGCGAUGUGGAGCAAAUCUCAAAAAACCGGCCUCAGUUCGGAUUGGAGUCUGCAACUCGACUCCANGAAGCUGGAAUCGCUAGUAAUCGCGAAUCAGCAAUGUCGCGGUGAAUACGUUCCCGGGUCUUGUACACACCGCCCGUCAAGCCUAA